RNAcentral lists this ribosomal RNA (379 nucleotides) under uncultured organism. RNAcentral describes it as "partial 16S ribosomal RNA". It matches the Rfam family "Bacterial small subunit ribosomal RNA", at positions 527 to 896 of the family's 1533-position model. The record is from RNAcentral.
GUAGGUGGCAAGCGUUGUCCGGAAUUAUUGGGCGUAAAGCGCGCGCAGGCGGUUCUUUAAGUCUGAUGUGAAAGCCCACGGCUCAACCGUGGAGGGUCAUUGGAAACUGGAGAACUUGAGUACAGAAGAGGAAAGCGGAAUUCCACGUGUAGCGGUGAAAUGCGUAGAGAUGUGGAGGAACACCAGUGGCGAAGGCGGCUUUCUGGUCUGUAACUGACGCUGAGGCGCGAAAGCGUGGGGGGGAGCAAACAGGAUUAGAUACCCUGGUAGUCCACGCCGUAAACGAUGAGUGCUAAGUGUUAGGGGGUUUCCGCCCCCCCCCUUAGUGCUGCAGCUAACGCAUUAAGCACUCCGCCCUGGGAGUACGGCCGCAAGGCUG